Molecule: long non-coding RNA, 5478 nt
Filed under: Ananas comosus (pineapple)
Lineage: Eukaryota; Viridiplantae; Streptophyta; Magnoliopsida; Poales; Bromeliaceae
Description: long non-coding RNA (ACOM_LNC023613)
Source: RNAcentral
UCGGAGUUGGCACAAGACCGGCAAUGCGGCUUGUGUUUAGAUCAUAGUUAGUUAAUUCGGACAAUUCGAUGCGGGUAUGAUUCGGAUAAAAUUUGUUUGCUAAUUUUUAAAUUCGUUAAAAAAUAUGGCUAAAAAAUGGAUUCGUCAAUUAUUUGGAUACGUGAUUUAUACGGAAAUUAUACGUUCAUCAAUUAAAAAUUCGGGAUAAAAAAUUCGGCUAUUAAAUUAAGUUUUUUUUUUCUCUCAAGAUUUAUGUUAUUAGCAUAAAUACUCAUAUUUCUUAAGAAUAUAAGAAUAAAUAGCUACAAAAUUAAGUUAAUUACGUAAAAAAAUUGAAAAGAGUUUUUUUUUCUGUAAUUAAAUAAAGAGUUUUUUUUUUCUGUAAUUAACUUAAUUAACUUAAUUUGAAAAGCGCCCGUACCGAAUUAAUUAAUUCGGUACAGGCACUCGAGGCGCUCGAGGCGCUCGAAGCGCGCGUGGGCCUCGUGCCCCGGCCUCGCGGGCGCGCGCGGGCCUCGCAGGAGCGCGAGCAGCCCGGGAACGCACGCAGGCCGCAUUUUUUUGGCUCCGAAUAAUUCGGCCCGCGUAUAAUACGCGAAUAAGUCUUUUUUUACCAAGAAAACACAUUUUUUUCUGAAUUUUUGGGAAAAAUAUGAAUUCGGUCGUUUAAUUCGUUUAUUUAAAAAUUCGAGAAUAAUUCAUGAAUAAUUUGCAAAUUUACUAACAUAGGUUUAGAUCUCCUUAUCCCGCGAACAUCGACGUAGAGCAUCCGUAUCCGGCAAACUGGAAAAAGCCGAAGUUCGACAAGUUCUCGGGCGAUGAGACCGAGAAUAUGGUCGAGCAUAUAGCCUGGUUCACGGCCUAAUGUAGAGAAGCGGCCGCUGACUCAUUUUUGAAACUUCGAUUAUUUAACAUAUCAUUAACUAAAACGGCGUUUACUUGGUAUACAAGUUUAUUAGCCAAUGCCAUCCAAGAUUGGGACGAAUUGGAAAGAAAAUUUCAUGAACAAUUCUAUAAGUCGGAGCGACAAUUAUCGGUUGCCAACUUGGCUUUAUACCGACAAAAGUCAGGUGAAACGGUAGAAGAGUAUUUGAACCGUUUCAAAAUAGCCAAGACCCGGUGCUUUGUGAGAAUGCCGGAAUUAGUGUUCGCCAAAAUAGCGUUAAAUGGUCUACAUUUUAAGAUAAAAGACCAUUUUGAAAAUAAGUAUUUUUCUAACCUAUUUGAUCUAGGUGUUCAAGUUGCCCAAUAUGAGCAAUUUCGAAAGGAAAGUGAGGACAAUCGGCUGCAAUGGAGCCAAUAUAAAAAGCAAAGGAAAGGUAAAGAGAAAUUCUUGAUAGAAGAACAGUCGGUUCAAGAAGAGCCGAGCCAAUUGAGUGAAAGUAAAGAAUCGGCUGAUGAAGUUGAGGUACAUUUUGCUGGUAAAGAGCCACUUUCUUCAAAGAGAAAUCCUUGAUAGAAGAACAGAUGGUUCAAGAAGAGCCGAGCAAAUAGAGUAAAAGCAAAGAAUCGGUUUAUGAAGCCGAGGCAUAUACGGCUAGGAUGGUAAAGAGUCGCUUCCUUUAAGCCGACCAAGAGUAGCGAAAUUAAGAUCGGGUCAUGGCUGUGUCAUUGAGUCGUUGAUUUGGCACCAAUAGUCAUUCGAACGUUCAUUCGAGAGACUAUUGGGAGGGCAUUGUUGAUACAAAAAAAUUAACACACCGAUAUAACCCAUGUAUGAGCCAAAGAAAUAAGGACACGUGGUACAUCAGGAGUCAGCAAUAAGACGCCUGAAGAUCAAGAGCGUUUAGGCGGGAAUGGUUGAGAAAUGGGGCAUUACUUUCAUGAUCAUGGCUACACCACUUCCCCCACUACUUUAACCAACCAAUAAUGUGGGUUGAUAAGAUAUUAUAAAUAGUAACUUUGAAGCCUGUAAAAGGGGUCUUUCUCUCCCCUGAACGAGAAGACUACAACAUUUUCAAUAUUUUUCUUUCCUGUAUUUAUUAUUUUCUAGGAGUAAUCUACAGGUAAUCAUUUUUACCCGCAUUUACUGCUUUCCUAGGAGUAGUCUUUAAGUUAGAUCUCUGGAGUCUAUAUGCCCCACGGGCACACUCCGUUGUAAUCUAGAUUUUCAGAGUCUGUAUGCCCUUCGGGCAUACUCUAUUUUGUAUGAGUUCCCAAUUUUAUUUUAAUAUAUAAAGGCAUUUGGCUCUUUAAGCCAACCAAUCACUGUGUUUUCAUCCAUUUGGCUCUUCAGCCGACCCAAAUUUCAGUGUUUUUCGAACAUUCGGCUCAUCCAGCCGAAUCGAAUUUGUAUUAAAGGUUUUCGAACUCAGCUGAUCCAAUCCCCUCAUCAGCCGAAUCGCUUGAUCCAGUCGAAGGGCGCAACUUCGAGGGUCACUUUUCGAAGCCGUUUUUCAUCCCUACACGUUCUUCGAAGAGGAUCUUUGACCGGAUCAAGAAUCGGGGAAUUCGGCUCCUAACAAUUAUCAUUGUUAUUUCCAUCAUGUAGUAGUUGUACUUACUUUCCUUUUUACUUAUUAUGAACCUAGUGGUGUAAUUUGCUGAGAUUGGCGGCUUAUCCACUAGAAACUAUUGUUCAAUAGUUCUCACACCCUCUUUGUUGUUGCUUUUAUAGAGCGAUCCAUUACGGGAGAGACUAGGGAUUGCGGCAAAGGAGUCGCGUCUAGCUAGACGUACCUUGGAGUUCUGCUAGGUGAUCAUCUCGCUGUGUUUGAGUUACUGACGAGGAUGAUGUUCUACCUGUGUAUAGAGAAGACUACUACUUGUAUAUGUAGUUGUUUUGGUGACCCUGAGAUGUAUAUUUGUGAUUAGAGAGUUGUACUUUAUCAUUGUUACCUUUGUUUUCUGAUUACUUUGGUGAAGUUGUACUUGUUUUACUCUAAUUUUUAGUACACUUUGUACAUUCUAUGCUUUGAUACUAUGUUAGAUUUUUGUUGAUUGGUAUUUUCUAGCAUAGUUCUAGUAGACGCCUUGUAUACUGUAGGUAUAUGGCGGGUCUGCCCAUGUUUCGGGUAUGCUUCCGCUGACACCGGGGCAUGAAACGUCGGCGGAUGCCUACUGCUCGACUGCCCUCCAUCAUCUGGAGUCGGGCGCUUCCUAUCCUGACUCCGCCUCGGCACCUGAGCCCGCUCACAAACCGAUACAUCUCCUCUCUCCAUCCACAACGCCUGCUCAAUCGACGCAUCCAAAGUUCUCAACCUCUGCGCCUACACCAACCGGAAGAUCUCUGGCCUCAAGCCCUCUUCAUACAGAUACACUUUGUGGGCUUCAUCCCUGGCUACAAACGGUACACAGUUCAGAAGCUGAGUAAACCACGAGUGUACUCCUGAACUGAUCGCUCCCCCUGUUGUAGCUUCUUCAGGUCCUCCUCGAGUUUUUGCUUUACACUGUUUGGAAAAUAGGCCCCGUACAGCAAUCCACAAAACUUGUCCCACUUCAUUUGUAGCACAACCAGCCCUCGAGUCUACCUUAUUCUCCUCCACCAGGAGUGCGUAUCACCUGCCAAACAGUGCACUCCCGGGUGUACCUGCUCCCGCUCUGGUACGAACAAGUCCUCGAAUAACUUUCUCAUCGCACUCACCCAGCCCUCUACAACCCAGGGCUCCGUGCAAUUGCAAUCAAAGCGCGGUAAAUCAAACCGACGAAAACGAGCCAGCAUCUCCAGAGAAUGUAACUAGCGCCAUAAGAACUGUCACUGAUGGGGGUACAGCUGUGGCUGGUACGGCCACUGGAGUAGUCGGCGGCGGUGCCGGCUGCUCUGGUGCUCUAUGCGCUGUGUUCGGCGGUGGAGUAAAUGUUUCACACAUCCUCUGUAAUAGGGCCCCCUAUUGCCUGGUCGCCUCAGUCAAGACAGCUAACUGCUCUAUCAGAUCAGAGGGUGCACUCGGCCCUGCUUGCUCAGGCAUCUCAGAUGGCGCGACACGAUCCCGUGUCGACGGUCGACCUCGGCGUCGAUACAUGAUUACCUGAAAUUAAAACAAGGGUCAGAUACAAAACACAAUCACUCUCGACCCAAUCAAGCGAAAGUCUAGAAGGUCACCCCUAUUUCUCCUCAAAAUUAUGCUAUCUGCAGCCAACAUAUUUCUCUUGACAAAAACAGACACUCCUUCAGUCACUCACUUCACUCUAGGAGGAGUUAAAAUAAUUUAAUCGCUGACUUUCGUAAUAAAUCAAGCCUCUCACCUCUUGCCUUCCUAAGAUUUUCCAAACUUAAGGUUUUCUACGUCCCAACGACCUAAUACUAAGCUCUGAUACUAACUUAAUCUCUCACACCCCGGAUUACCAUGUUUUUUCGAGCAAACCAGAAGACCCGCCGUAUACAUAGAAAUUUUUUCUGUAUACGAAACGAUAGCUGUACCUAUAAAUAAAGCCAAGCUACAACCAAGAGAUAAGAGUUGCUAAACUAAAAAUAUAUAAGUAUAAAACCUCAAGAGGUUCCAGUACAUACAAAAAUCUACAACCCAACUCGCUCCAGCGAGUACCACGACAACAUCACCAUAUGUAUAAAGAAAGCCCAAAACUACCUCUGGAUAGGUGCUCCUCUAGCUAAACUAACAGAGGGAUGGCCCUAACUCGCAACUCCUCUGCCACGAUCAGAAACAGCGUCAGUAGUAGCCACGAAUGAAGGCUCUGCAAAAAAGGUCAACAACUGGGUGUGAGAACUACUACAAAAUAGAGUAGUCCUCAGUGGGUACCGUCAUCGAUCUCAACGGCUCACCUACUGAGUCUACAGAAAAGUGCGUAAGAGAUAGUAAGAAAAGCUGAAAACCCAGCAGGCUAACCAAUACUGGCUAUCUGUAGAUGUAACAAAAAUGCAACCUCUGACCCAAACUUACUAGGGACUGUGAACGCACCUAUCCCACCUAUCGAAACUACACCGCGUACCACCUCGGGGGCUACCGGUGGAGAGCAAAGUCCUAACCGAACAUUACAACAUCAAUGCAAAAGCAUGUAGCCAAACUCCGGAGCGGCACUCGUGGGCGCGACCCAACCGAGUAUACAAGCAUGUCUCUAUUAAGCUCAAUCAAGCUCUCACAGGCUAUAAUCAAUGCAAAUUGGUCUAACUGUCUAACAACCAAAUCUCACGUGCCCUUAGCACAAUCUGAGGCAAAACACAGAAAUCUGGUUCCACUGUCAACCGCGACGGCACCCGACAGUCCUAAACAAUCUACACACUACUGUAAAAUAAACUCGGCAUCCCAGCACGAGUGUAAACUCAUCCUAUACUAGCUCUUAAAGCUAAAUCUGAUAAUUUUCUGAAAGUGACAGUGUAGAACUUAUAUAUUUUCUCCCAAGUCAAUUCUAAGUCCAACAUGGAAAAUUAUAAUUCUAUCUUAACUCCAAAUUCAGAUUUUAUACUCUAAUCCCUGAAUUCGAGUACUAGCAAGGAAAUAAAGCAAUGAUACAUGUCGACAAUGCUAAAACUUAAGAGGAAUUCUGACGAUUUCGGUAAACAUUAACCCACCUCGAAACGCU